Beta vulgaris subsp. vulgaris (sugar beet) is the source of this 834-nucleotide long non-coding RNA. RefSeq lists it as uncharacterized. The record is from RefSeq and is a predicted model, not a curated record. NCBI's taxonomy places the organism in Eukaryota, Viridiplantae, Streptophyta, Magnoliopsida, Caryophyllales, Amaranthaceae. The transcript has 2 exons.
UGUAAAAAGAUCCUAGUUUGACAUUUUAUUUUGACAUUCAAAGAAAAUAAUAGGAAUGAAGAAAGCUGAUGUUCAGCUUCUCCAAACCAACACACAACCGACCACCACCUCCCCCUACUUCCCUCCUUGUUCCCUACUCCAACCUCUCCUAUGGUGAACCACUAUUCAUCUUCUACCACCUUCAUUUCUUGUCACUAAAAUCUGUCUAUAAAUUCAUAGAAAAACUAAGCUUUGAAAAUCAGGAAACUAAACCCACAAAAAUUCACAAAUUCUUCUCCUCCCUCUCUCUCCUCUGUUCGGGUCCCACACCAACACCACCAGGUCUGCCGCCAGCUCGUGCGACGCAAGACAGUCGCCGGCCACCUGCCCGAUACUCGCCGACCAACUGCAGAUCGUCGGAGCUCCGCCUGCAACUCGCGUUCUCCCUCCUUCCCCGCGCCCUUCUCGCUCGCUCCUCUUCUUUGCGCGUUGUUGUACCGCGCGCACCACCUACGACACGCGCCACACCACCGCCGACCCCCCUGUUGCGUUGUGCUGCUCGCCGGAGGCCCUGCCGCCUCUGUUUCGUCCCUGCUCCAAGUGAGUAGAGUGCUACAAUGGUUUCAGGUUGAAGUUAUGGAGCACCCCUUCCAAGGUAGAAGCAGUUACAUGCUAAGAGUUCAACUAUGUUGAUUUUAUGUUUCUUUUGAGGCGAGGACGUUCCACUUUGUAUUAGAUAAUAAUAAAUGAGUUAGUUUUAUUUCUAGUGCUGAAUGAGCAAUAUUGCUCCUGUUUCACUUUAGUUGUACUCCGCAGAAGCGUUGAGUUAAGGAUUUGGGAAUGUUUUAUUUGUAA